This 538-nucleotide ribosomal RNA is filed under the name uncultured bacterium. RNAcentral's name for it is "bacterial SSU rRNA". It matches the Rfam family "Bacterial small subunit ribosomal RNA", at positions 777 to 1314 of the family's 1533-position model. The record is from RNAcentral.
AAUAGAUACCCAGGUAGUCCACGCCGUAAACGUUGGGCGCUAGGUGUGGGGGCCAUUCCACGGUCUCCGUGCCGCAGCUAACGCAUUAAGCGCCCCGCCUGGGGAGUACGGCCGCAAGGCUAAAACUCAAAGGAAUUGACGGGGGCCCGCACAAGCGGCGGAGCAUGUUGCUUAAUUCGAUGCAACGCGAAGAACCUUACCUAGGCUUGACAUGCACGGAAAAGCCGUAGAGAUACGGUGUCCUUCGGGGUCGUGCACAGGUGGUGCAUGGUUGUCGUCAGCUCGUGUCGUGAGAUGUUGGGUUAAGUCCCGCAACGAGCGCAACCCUCGUUCCAUGUUGCCAGCACGUAAUGGUGGGGACUCAUGGGAGACUGCCGGGGUCAACUCGGAGGAAGGUGGGGAUGACGUCAAAUCAUCAUGCCCCUUAUGUCUAGGGCUGCAAACAUGCUACAAUGGCCGGUACAAAGGGCUGCGAUACCGCGAGGUGGAGCGAAUCCCAAAAAGCCGGUCUCAGUUCGGAUUGGGGUCUGCAACUCCG